GCCUAAUACAUGCAAGUCGCACGGGAUAGUAGGGGGCAACUCCUGCGUGUACCGUGGCGUAAGGGCGAGCAAUACGUGGCUAACCUACCCCCGAGAGAGGAAUAACCCGCCGAAAGGCGGGCUAAUUCCUCGUAACGUCGGAUGUCGCAGGACGUCCGACCAAAGAUGGCCUCUACAGCGUUAAGCUGUCGCUCGGGGAGGGGGCCACGUCCUAUCAGCUAGUUGGUGAGGUAACGGCUCACCAAGGCUACGACGGGUACCCGGCCUGAGAGGGUGGUCGGGCGCAUCGGGACUGAAAUACUGCCCGGACUCCUACGGGAGGCUGCAGUCGAGAAUCUUCGGCAAUGGGCGAAAGCCUGACCGAGCGACGCCGCGUGUGGGAUGAAGGCCUUCGGGUUGUAAACCACUGUCACCUGUUAAGAAGGAAACCCGGUAAACAGCCGGGGGACUUGACGUUAGCAGGAGAGGAAGGGACCGCUAACUCUGUGCCAGCAGCGGCGGUAAUACAGAGGUCCCAAGCAUUGUUCGGAUUCACUGGGCUUAAAGGGCUCGUAGGCGGCUGCGUAUGUCCAUAGUGAAAGCCCCCGGCUUAACCGGGGAACGGCUGUGGAAACUGCGCGGCUUGAGGAUGAAGAGGCGGGUGGAAUUCCCCGGUGGAGCGGUGGAAUGCGUAGAUAUCGGGAGGAACGCCAGAGGCGAAAGCGGCCCGCUGGUCAGUCCUGACGCUGAGGAGCGAAAGCCAGGGGAGCAAACGGGAUUAGAUACCCCGGUAGUCCUGGCCGUAAACUGUGGGCACUUGGUAUCGGGCGGCCCGAGCCGUUCGGUAUCGAAGGGAAACCGUUAAGUGCCCCGCCUGGGGAGUAUAGUCGCAAGUCUGAAACUCAAAGAAAUUGACGGGGGCUCGCACAAGCGGUGGAGGAUGUUGUUCAAUUCGAUGCAACGCGCAGAACCUCACCUGGGCUUGACAUGCUGGAAUGAGCCCUUCCGAAAGGUUGGGUGCGCCCGCAAGGGUGGAGCCAGCACAGGUGUUGCACGGCUGUCGUCAGCUCGUGUCGUGAGAUGUCGGGUUAAGUCCCUUAACGAGCGAAACCCCUGUCCCUAGUUGCCACCGGGAAACCGGGCACUUUAGGGAGACUGCCGUUGUAAAACGGAGGAAGGUGGGGAUGACGUCAAGUCAUCGUGGCCUUUAUGCCCAGGGCUACAAACGUCCUACAAUGGCCGGUACAAAGGGAAGCGAAACCGCGAGGCGGAGCAAAUCCCAAAAAACCGGUCCCAGUUCGGAUCGCAGGCUGCAACUCGCCUGCGUGAAGCUGGAAUCGCUAGUAAUCGCAGAUCAGAACGCUGCGGUGAAUAUGUUCCCGAGCCUUGCACACACCGCCCGUCAC
RNAcentral lists this ribosomal RNA (1385 nucleotides) under uncultured bacterium. RNAcentral's name for it is "bacterial SSU rRNA". It matches the Rfam family "Bacterial small subunit ribosomal RNA", at positions 46 to 1400 of the family's 1533-position model. The record is from RNAcentral.